AUUGAACGCUGGCGGAAUGCUUUACACAUGCAAGUCGAACGGCAGCACGGGGGCAACCCUGGUGGCGAGUGGCGAACGGGUGAGUAAUACAUCGGAACGUGCCCAAUCGUGGGGGAUAACGUAGCGAAAGCUACGCUAAUACCGCAUACGAUCUACGGAUGAAAGCGGGGGAUCGCAAGACCUCGCGCGAAUGGAGCGGCCGAUGGCAGAUUAGGUAGUUGGUGGGGUAAAGGCUCACCAAGCCAACGAUCUGUAGCUGGUCUGAGAGGACGACCAGCCACACUGGGACUGAGACACGGCCCAGACUCCUACGGGAGGCAGCAGUGGGGAAUUUUGGACAAUGGGCGAAAGCCUGAUCCAGCCAUUCCGCGUGCAGGAUGAAGGCCUUCGGUUGUAACUGCUUUGACGGACGAAAGACACUUCUAAUACAAGUGUCAUGACGUACGUCAGAUAAGACACCGGCGUAACUACUAGCCAGCAGCCGCGGU
RNAcentral lists this ribosomal RNA (488 nucleotides) under uncultured bacterium. Its description in RNAcentral is "bacterial SSU rRNA". It matches the Rfam family "Bacterial small subunit ribosomal RNA", at positions 30 to 521 of the family's 1533-position model. The record is from RNAcentral.